AGACGACUGGGUUGAUAGGCCAGAUGUGGAAGCCCGGUAACGGGUGGAGCUGACUGGUACUAAUAGGCCGAGGGCUUGUCCUC
Molecule: non-coding RNA, 83 nt
Filed under: Streptomyces atratus
Lineage: Bacteria; Bacillati; Actinomycetota; Actinomycetes; Kitasatosporales; Streptomycetaceae
Description: 23S rRNA. Bacterial LSU
Rfam family: Bacterial large subunit ribosomal RNA
Source: RNAcentral